GAUCAUGGCUCAGAUUGAACGCUGGCGGAAUGCUUUACACAUGCAAGUCGAACGGCAGCACGGGGGCAACCUGGUGGCGAGUGGCGAACGGGUGAGUAAUACAUCGGAACGUGCCCAAUCGUGGGGGAUAACGUAGCGAAAGUUACGCUAAUACCGCAUACGAUCUACGGAUGAAAGCGGGGGAUCGCAAGACCUCGCGCGAAUGGAGCGGCCGAUGUCAGAUUAGGUAGUUGGUGGGGUAAAGGCUCACCAAGCCAACGAUCUGUAGCUGGUCUGAGAGGACGACCAGCCACACUGGAACUGAGACACGGUCCAGACUCCUACGGGAGGCAGCAGUGGGGAAUUUUGGACAAUGGGCGCAAGCCUGAUCCAGCCAUUCCGCGUGCAGGAUGAAGGCCUUCGGGUUGUAAACUGCUUUUGUACGGAACGAAACGGCGAGCUCUAAUACAGUUUGCUAAUGACGGUACCGUAAGAAUAAGCACCGGCUAACUACGUG
This 496-nucleotide ribosomal RNA is filed under the name uncultured bacterium. RNAcentral's name for it is "bacterial SSU rRNA". It matches the Rfam family "Bacterial small subunit ribosomal RNA", at positions 15 to 507 of the family's 1533-position model. The record is from RNAcentral.